This 2253-nucleotide small RNA is filed under the name Pan troglodytes (chimpanzee). RNAcentral's name for it is "retained intron". The record is from RNAcentral. Lineage: Eukaryota; Metazoa; Chordata; Mammalia; Primates; Hominidae.
AAUUUUGCAACGACGGGCGCGGAGGAGGAGGUUCCCGGAAGCCACGCGCAGCUGGAGCAGCGGCGACCGCAGCUGGAGGCCCGGAGCGCCUGCGGGGCUGGCAGAGGCGAGGGAGGUUGCGGGUAGGAAGGGCGGGCUGCGCGCGCCCCCUGCGUCCCGCGCACCUCGGGGCCGGUCCAUGCUCCCGACGGCUGCGGGCUUCAGCAUCUGGGGCCAGGUUGGGGCGGCGGGGGAGGCGCCGCGAUGCCAGACGAAAAUAUCUUCCUGUUCGUGCCCAACCUCAUCGGUGAGUGCUGCCCGCGGCCCCGGGCCGAACGAGAGGGCGAGGGGCCUUGGCGGGCUCCCUGAUCCUGCCCUGUCUCCCCGCGUCCCGUUCCAAGGUUAUGCCCGGAUUGUCUUCGCCAUCAUUUCUUUCUACUUCAUGCCCUGCUGCCCCCUCACGGCCUCCUCCUUCUACCUGCUCAGCGGCCUGCUGGACGCUUUCGAUGGACACGCUGCUCGCGCUCUUAAUCAAGGAACCCGGUUUGGGGCCAUGCUGGACAUGCUGACGGACCGCUGCUCCACCAUGUGCCUGUUGGUCAACCUGGCCCUGCUGUACCCUGGAGCCACGCUGUUCUUCCAAAUCAGCAUGAGUUUGGAUGUGGCCAGUCACUGGCUGCACCUCCACAGGUCUGCUGCGAUUCUGGGGGCCUGGGCCACUUGGAGACACUACAGUGGGGUGGGCUGAGCCUAGAUGGAAGGGUGUCUGGGAUGGCACUAGGCAUCCUGGAAGGGCUCCUUUUUAGCUCUGCUUUGUAGAAAGACCUCAGGCAAACCUGCCUCUCUUUAAAGCUUCAGUCAUGUUUACAGUUGCAUUAAGCAAUUCUUAGGACUCUUCUGGCUGGGUAUUCUAGGAUUCCAUAUAGGUGACAGCUUAUAGGAAGGGGCAUGGGAGCUUUCAAAUGUGGCAUUUGAAUCCUGACUCUGCCCCCAAAUAGGUAACUGUGGCUUUCGGCAGGAUACUGGUCCUUAGCCGUGCCCAGUUUUCCAUCUGUACAAUAGGUGUUAACGUGAGGAUUGGAUGCAUGGUAGUGGUCAUGAAACCUCGUGGGUUCCCCUGUUUUCUCCCCAAGUUCUGUGGUCCGAGGCAGUGAGAGUCACAAGAUGAUCGACUUGUCCGGGAAUCCGGUGCUUCGGAUCUACUACACCUCGAGGCCUGCUCUGUUCACCUUGUGUGCUGGGAAUGAGCUCUUCUACUGCCUCCUCUACCUGUUCCAUUUCUCUGAGGGACCUUUAGUUGGCUCUGUGGGACUGUUCCGGAUGGGCCUCUGGGUCACUGCCCCCAUCGCCUUGCUGAAGUCGCUCAUCAGCGUCAUCCACCUGAUCACGGCCGCCCGCAACAUGGCUGCCCUGGACGCAGCAGACCGCGCCAAGAAGAAGUGACGCUGGAGCCCCGGGUCCUGGCUGCCCACCUGCCCUGGGAGUCUUGCUGUGCCACACAGCUCCCCACCCCCUGCUAGGAGGUCCCAGUCUCACGCCUUCCUCAUGUGUUGUUCUACCUGCUGGGAUGGGGGUCAGCCUCUCUUUGGUGACGUCACGUUCUCUGGGAUCCCGAGGACCCGGGCCUCAAAUCAGGGAGGAUACGCGGGAGGCCCCAUCCAUCCAGGUGGUGCUCCUGGGGUGCCAGGACCGGGUAGUGUCACACCCUGCCUGCUCAGUCCUGGGGUCCGAGAUGCUAGGGACGCUUGAGUGAGGGAGGUGGUGUGAGGGCCAGGUUUCCUGAAAGGUGGGAGUCAGACCUCCGCCCCCAGCCAGAGCAAGCUUGGGGCACCAUGCCCAGGAGGGAAGAAGCCAUCCACAGCCUUCCCUGUCACCGGCUCCUCUGUCCUGCCUACCCUGGUCCUGGCGGGACUUCACUAUUUGACUUGCUUUCCUUUCAGAUAUUCUUGGCUCAGGGCCUGGGUUGAGGGAGCUUAGGGAAGGACGUCCGUCUGGGUGCUUUUCCUCCAGUUUGCUGGCUGGCUUCUCCGUCUACCCACAGUGACCUCACAGAGAGGCCCUCCUGCCACCCAUGCUCAUGUGGUGUCCCCACCGCCCACUUGUUUGAUGUCACUGACUGUCUACAUGUAUUUAUAUUCUUGAUAUUUUCUACCCUCACUAGAAUGUAAACUCCAUGAAGGCACAGACUUUUCUUGUUCUCUUCUCUAUCCCUAGAGUAAGACCAACUUGAACCUGGCAUAUAGUAGCUGCUUAAUAAAUACUCGUCUGUCAAUG